CUUGCUUCAGAAAAUGGUGAGUCUCCUCAUAUAGUGCCUCCCUUUUUCAUCCUGGCAUUGAGAACAAUGACUCUAGGGCCCUUAUAUCCAGCAGAUGUUUUGAAGACAUCCUCUGGUUUCCUUUUCAGAAGUAAUAAGCUGACUCUUCACCGUCUCAGUAGAGUGAGUGUCCAGUGAGAGAAGGAUGCAGUCAAGCACUCUCUGGGGAGUUCUGGGACUCUGCCUCCUAUCAGGUAAGUAGAUUGGAAUAAAGAAGGGUGGUGUUUCUCCAGUCCACUGGAAGCCUCAGAGACUUACUCGUGCAGCCCAGUCAUACCAAAGAGCCUCAUUUACCAGAAGAUGUAAGGGACUGUGCUAUCGGUUAGGGUUGGGGAUUGAGGUCGGAAGCAAACAAAAGAAAUGUGCAGGUGCCUAGGGCAUCAUUCAGGGAAUAGCCAGGGAGAAGCAGUUGACAAGAUCAUAUCAAUUGAGAGCAAAAAGGUCUCUCUGCCACCAAGAAGAAGCCCACCCCAGUUCUUACUAAGCCCUUAAGAACUAACACAAGACAUUAGAAGAGCUAAGCCCCAGCCUUUGUUUUGGGGAAAUCAGACAGUUAAACCUAAACUCUGCACAUAGUAGAACAAAUUUAGUACCUUUGAAACAAACACCUCACAAUUUUCAGUCCUUUUUGGAUGCCCAAGAGCUUUCAAUUAGUUUAGUCUUUUUUGAAACAAGGCAGGACAUGAAUUGAUAAAUAACCGAGAGCAUUUGCAUAUCUCAUGAGAUAAAUAAUACAAAAAAAGUUGCCAUUUAUUGAGUGUCUGUACUAUACAAAGAAAACUCCAUUACAUGCAUUAACUGAUUUAAUCCUUACCUCCACCUUGGAGGAAAGAUGUUAUACCCUCUAUUUUAUGAAGAAAUUAAUACUCAAAGAAGUUAAAUAACAUUUAAAACCAUACUGUUAGUAAUUGCAGAAGCGGAUCCAAGAAAUCGGGACUAUCUGUCCACAAGGCCUGUGCUCAGAAUGGCCGCAUUGCAUGAGGCAAAAUGGCUCCUGAUAGUUUUAUUUCAUAAGCCUAGGAAAUACUGUCUCAGCUGGGGCUCCUAACUCAGAGCCACAGCCAUGGUGUCUUCACUUCCUGCUUCAUCUUGGGUUGUUUUCUUAAGCUUGAACACAAAAAUCACCUGGGAACCCUGUUAAAUUGCAGCUUCUAUUUCAAGAGGCCUGGAAUGGAGACUGAGAAUGUGGGCAUUAUGAGAAUGUGCCCAAAAUGCUCUUGUUACCGGACUGCUGGGCCAUAGGCCCAACUCUGGGGGUCCCAACAAAUCAGAUCUGGCCACCUGCCCCAAAAACCAAAUGGAAAAAGUAAUGACGAAAAGCAGAAAAGGAACUGUAAUCAAGAUGGCCAUAUUGGGAAGGCAAAUGAGAUCAAGCUUCCCAGUCCUGUCUUUGGGAUACUGAUGUGUUAGGUUUAAACAGAAGAAAAACUGAGGCAGUGGACAAGUAGUAUGCAGAACUAAAUAAUCUUGGUUAAACUGUGUCCUGGUUGAUUAUUAUCUCAGUUCUGGUUCUACAAGGUGGCUCCAGGGAAGUCCUUGUCUCUUGAAGAGACAAUCUCCCUUUGCUUCACAGGAUGUUUAUCAGACCUGGAUCCUGGUGGGGACAAUUCAGCUCCCAGGAGAUGAUUGCUCUUGCUUCAGGGUAGGGGGAUGGUCUCAUCAGGAAAUUAUCUGCCUUCAAUUUUUCACUAUUCCUGGAAUGUCUAGGAGAAUGACUGGAGACUUCUACGCAUUGCUCCAGGGGGUCUGGAACAGGAGCUUUUUAAAAGCCAGCAGUUGAAUGUCCCUGAAAAUCUUAAAAAUACCUUACUUACCUUUAUUGUGGUGUCUUCAGUCUUGAAGGGGACAGAAUGCCAGCUUGAGAUGAACACUCCUUAAAUGAUUAACAUACCUAUGUGCAAAAUUGAGCAGGAUUCUAACACAAAAGUUUAAGUUAAUAAAUAAAACUGGAGCUGGGCACAGUGGCACAUGCCUGUAAUGCUAGCAGCUCACGAGGCUGAGGUAGGAGGAUCACAAGUUCAAAGUCAGCCUCAGCAAAACAAGACACUAAGCAAUUCAGUGAGACCCUAAAUAAAAUAAAAAAUAGGGUUAGGGAUGUAGCUCAGUGGUCGAGUGCCCCUGAGUUCAGUCCCUAGUACCAAAAAACAAACAAACAACAAAAAAAACUACUGGAUACUAAAUGAAGGUAACUUUUAGUUACCCAUAGGGCAUCUGUAGGCCCAAGUGAAAAGUCAGUACUUUUUAGCAAAGGCAACCUAUCUAACUAAGUACCUGUUAUUCUCUGGGGAUUAAAGAGUAUCUCACCCAACAUAGAGGCUAUUGGUGAACAGAAAACUCUCAGGCAGAGCCAGGGAAACUGGUCACUGUAAUGAAUCUAAGUCAUGCUUAAGUGAUUUGGGAGAGUCCAGAGGAAAUGUGAUCAGGCUCUUUAACGCAUAGGCUCUAGGUUAUGAGUGACUGGGGUUUCAAAUAUUUCCACUUGUCUCUAGCAGAAAACAAAUGGAAAAACUGAGCCAUCCAACAAGCAGAAGCCAGAAAUGGAACAAGAAUCCCGACGUUUGUAGCCAAACAAAAGCUCAUUUUUUUUUCCACAGUCUGAGACCAGUUUCAAAAUGGAGGCUUAGUUGCAAAAUUCUUUUGCUAUUUCUCUUGUCAGACAAAAAGCAGCCCCAACUUAUUCUAACUUCUGUUUGUUGAAUAUUGUGUUGUCAUGUUUAAUGCUGGACGGUUCCUUUCUCUUUCUUCCCAAAUUGACUGGAUCAAUCCCCAGCAGUAAAAGGCACUUUUCUAAAGUGUAGAAGCCACUGAGAUCAUACAGUGGCUGGAAAGAACUUUAGAUGGUCAUUAAUAUAAUUAUAUAAUUAAUAUAAUUAUUUGGAAUUGCAUGCACUCACAAUAUUUUCUAACUCUUUUUUUUUAACUAUUUAUUUUCCAGUUGGUGCUUGGGGGCAGGAAGGUAAGAUAUGC
This 3006-nucleotide long non-coding RNA is filed under the name Marmota monax (woodchuck). The record is from RNAcentral. Lineage: Eukaryota; Metazoa; Chordata; Mammalia; Rodentia; Sciuridae.